UUUCUAAUUAUGCGGGAGCUUAACGUGACUGCAUGCACAUACCUGAGUGUGGGUUUUGUCUGGGGUGACGCACGUCUGAGUCCCGUUGUGUCUCUGUGUUUCCCUUUGAGUACUGGAAAUUGUUUUUGUGUGUAGGCGAGAUCCCACUUAACCUCCCAGAAUUAAGCACACACUUCCUUACGUGGGAAGGAUGUCAGAGUGGGAAGCCGAAGAGAACGCAAAGUUCUCUUGGGACCACCAGAGACAGGGAAAAGGCCUGGGUAGCUAAACUAAGACAAAAAUACAGAUAGCGGGGAAACUCCGCAUUCUGCCUGAGGUGCAGAAAGGGCCUCUCCCUGAAGUAUAAUGUAAGGCCUUUGCAUGGUCUGAAUCUCCAAAUUAUUCACAUUCUAUGUAUUUUGUUUUACUGUACUCAAAGCUUAAAUCCAUCAGAAGUGUUGGUUCCUAGUUCUUUAAAGAUUUAGCCAGGGUUGGAAGCUCUGUGGAAGCUACCAGCGUGAAAAGCAGGAAAGCGUCAGGAAAAUAGAGGAAAAUGUAAAGGAAUCCAGAUGCAAUGAAAAGGGCAAGUGUUGGGCAUAAACUGGAAUCUCAUCUGUGUAGGAUCUUGGCCAAGUUACCUCAGCCUUUACUUUCUUACUACCUCCCAUGUAGUUAAUUCACCCUGUCUAUUACCCGCUGCUGUGAUUCCUAGGUUAUUAAUGUUUCUCUUACCCGAAAGGUGACAAGGCAGACACGCAGUCAGUCGAAAAAUGUAGAAGAACCUAAAAAACCAGGGACUGAAAAGGAGGAGUUUUGAAGCAAAUUGGGAGAAAAGUCCUUGAACUCCAGACUAGGAUCUUGAGAAAAAUCAGCAUAUUGACAAAGAAGAAGGAGAAGUAGAGGAAAAAGAGACAGAAAUAUACAGGCAUCAGAGAGAGGCUAGCAGUAGAACCCACUGGAGGUCUCCUCUGCAUUUGAAGUGCAAUGUAAAUGAGAGGUCAGUACCACGGACAGCUCUCAGGCCACUGACCAGAUGUGCGAUUUCUCUUUCUGACUGAUGUUUCUUGGGCAACAAUUUUGUUCUUCCCUUGGCUUCCAGCAUGAGUUGAGAUCCUGGCCAUUUCUUCUUGAAAAGAUUACAAUAUAAAGAAAAACACUCACCACACAUGAUGUCCCAGUUUCUAUCCUGUAUCCUUUCUUUCCUUUCUUUCUUUCUUUCUUUUUUUUUUUGGCCCUCUCUUUCUAUCUAUACCUCGUGGUUUCCUAGUUAUUUGUCACAUUCUUGUUUUGCUCUGUCACCCCCAGCUGGGAGCUGCCUCCUUGAAAAAUACCAACAACAGCUGGUCAAGAAAUCAAUCUAAAAUAACCUAGUCAGAUGAAGACCAAGACAGAGUUGAUCCUUUAUCUUCCUUCACAAUUAGACUCUCAUGGUAGUAUAUGGUCAAAAUGCUGUACAAAUAGGACACUUAAUAACAUAAGAAGUUACUCUGUUGAUUACCAGUCACCCAACACAAUCAAUAUUUCACUCAGAAACAUAGAAUCCUCUGUGUGUGUGUGUGUGUGUGUGUGUGUGUGUGUGUGUGUGUGUGUACUGGGAAACAGAGAAAUAGAAGGAAGAAGGGGAAUUGUUAAACUUUUACCAGGCACUAACCUUCAUUUGGAAUAUUUUCUAGAUAGGUCUCAAAAUACUAUGUGAGCAAGGGUUAUAGUUCUGUUUCUACAGUGACUUUCCAACAUGCAUAAAAGCUAAAGCAUGUCCCCAAAUUACCAGUACAGAGAAGUUGGAGAUAGAAAAAUUAGAAGGUCAGAAUCAUUUUCAUCUAUAGUGAGAUUGAGGUCAGCCUGAGAUACAUGAGAGACUGCCUCAAAAAGAAAUAAAAGAAAGAAGGAGAAAAGGAAAGAAGGAAGAAAGGAAGGAAAGAUGGGUUGAGUGACUUAAGACAAAUAAUAUUACCCCAUUUUUAUAUAACAAAUCCCCUAACACAUGAAUAUCUACCGAGAUUGAUUUCACCAUAAUUUGAUCAGCCCUGAAAUUUGAAACGCAUUUCUAUGUCUAAAUAUUUAUUGUGUUUUUCAGGAAAGAAUAGAAAAACCCCAGGGUAGUUGGACAAUCUUCGAACUCAGUGGAGUAUUGUGCCCAACAUAAAUACAAACCCUGAUACCUGGAACCCUUGACUAAUGUGUGCCAAUGGAGGAUUCAGUAGACGUUGUCCCUGGAGAAGGAUAUGAAGACUUCACAGGGCCGAUUUAAGACUCGCUGGAACUUUAUUGGUUCUGAGUUUUAGAUAAAACCUGAACCUUUCUAGGUCUUGGCUCAUUUGCAUUUGGCUCUGUUUAGCUGCCCUGUUUCUAUGAGGCAAGCCUGAGAGGGCCAUUUAAAACUGUCUCCAAAGACUUCUUGGUCAUCAGGAAAGUUCCUAAUGACUUAUGGAGAAAGUAAUCAGAACCAUAUGGAUCACAUUUAUGCAGAAAGACACACUGGUGGGAAAAGGUUUGGAGGCCAAAAAUAUACUCUGUCUUCUUCUUUUUUUUUUCCUUUGCCAAAGAAAGAACAUUUAAGGAAGCUUGAGAUAUGUGAGAAAUGUCUUGUUCUUUCUUUGGGGUGGGUGUUGGUGAGCAGCUGCUUGCUAUUUCCACGGAAUUUACAAAAAGCUUGCAUGGGUGGAGGGAGUUUCCAACAAAUUAAGGUAGACUUGAGUGAGAACUUACUAUCUGUGGGCCUUGAGGUAACUGCUAUAAAAAGACCUUGAUCAAGGACAUUUACACAGGAAACAGCAUCCUACUGUCAUUACACACCAUCAUAUUGUCAUGGAUUCGAUAAUAUUUGUUAAGUCUCAGCUCAUUUUAAGCAUGUCACAAUUGCUACUGGCUGUGUAUUGUGGGGGGAAAAGUUUAUGAAAAUGUACUGAACUUUUGAUAAGAUUUUUUUCUAAAUCCCUCUUUGUUAAUACCAUUCACUGUCCCUAGAUCUUCUGGUAUCUUUUCUGAUUUCACACUUGGCAUUUCUUUUCAGAGUUUACCUCACUGGAAUUCAAGUUGACUAAAAUUAAAAAAAAUACAUAAAGAAUAAAAUAAAUAUGCAAAAAGCAACUUUUGAUUCUAGAAAUGCUAAGAGACAGAUAAAUUUUGCCAAUAAAAUGAAGGCCCUGCUUCCCUCACCUCAAAUAAAGACAAGAUUUUCUCCUAUUUGUGCAGGACUUUUAGCCACCUGCUGCUGCCACAAAGGCUUAAGUUUUCUAUGGCUGCUAAACCUCAGAGGAGUUAAAAAUCCCUUAAUCUGGGGUACUUUGGGUUCAAAGAGGGCUGAACAUCUGUAGGAAGAAACUUGAAUUUCUUAAGGGCCUGCUGAAAGUGAGAUCAUAUGAAAGACUUAAAGAUGAAUGACCACCUGACUUCUGUCUUCCAGGAGUCUAAAGUCCUCUACAGGGCCAAAGUUGGGCCAAAUAAUCACAGUAUAUCAAAGAGCGUAGUUGUGAUCUUCAGAAUGCUUAGAAAAUUCUAGAAAAGCUCAGAGGGAAACAUUUGCUUCUGUAUCAGGGCUGGUGUAAAACAGCAAGAGAUGGUUUUAUUAAGUCUUGAAAGCAGACGAAAGAGCAGGCCUUAGUAUUUACUAGUUUCACAGAUUUUUAUUUAAUUUUAUAUGCUAGAGGUAUAGAACCGCCCCCUCUCUGUGGGUGUUUGUGUAUGUGUGUGUUUGUGUGUGUGUGUGUGUGUGUGUCUGUGUGUCUGUGUAUGUAUGUGUAUGUAUGUGUGUGUGUAGUUAUGAAGACAGUUUAUGUGGAACACUCCCUUUACUCUCACCUCACUAAAUAAUGUAUUUGUAUGUUUCAGUGUGUGAGUGCAUAUUUGUAUCUGUGUUCAUAUUUUUGGAAUUCCAUUUAUAAGUUGUGGUUCCUCUGCAUAUGUAUAUAAGCUUGUCUUUUAACUAAAUCCAGAGCUUACUGAUAUGUCUUCUAUUGCUAGCUAGCUUGGUCUGCAGAUCCCAUAUUUCCACUUCUGAGCCCUGGAGUUAUAAAUAGGCAUCACACUCACUUGGCUUUUACAACAGUUCUAGGAAUUUGAACUAUUGCCCUCAUUCUUUCUAGAGAAGAAUGUUGACAACAGAUCUACUUGCCAUCCUGGAUAUUAAUAUUUUUUAAUAUUGUAACAUUUAUUAUAUAUUUAUUGAUAUAUGGAUAACCAUUAUUAGUAAACUAACAUUUAUUAAUCUCUAUAGGUCAGAAGCAUCCAAACCUUGCCUGUCUCUCACCAGAGUUUAAAUGAGCAUCUGCUCACUGAACAAAAUUGCUAUUGUACAGUGAACCCUAUUUCUCUUUCUCUCCUACUCUAUCCCCUUCUGAUCCUGAUCUCAUCUAAGUCUUCUGGAGGCAGUAUGUUUAAAAUGAAAUUUCUAUCCACUAUUGUACUUAUGUACAACCUGGUAGACCUCAAGCUGCAUACCCAAAUCAGAACUGCAAAACUCAGACCUCUGUAUCUUCCAUUCUCUGGCCCUUGUAAUAUUUACAUUCAUGUUAUGUCUAGUUAUUACUAUUUUGCGUGUAGUAGUAGAAAUGAAUUGUACAGUGAUGGUUAGUUCUGAACUUCUGUCUAAACAAGAUGAUUAAUGCUAGCCCCUUCAAUGUCACUGCAUUUGUUCCCAAGCACUGCUAUAUGUCCAUUGUGACACGUAACCUCUAUGGAAAAAGGAAGCUCACAUGACACCUUCUCUGCUGCUACAACUAAGAUGGAGAGUAUUGUACAUAAUCUGUCUCAACUUUCUCUCUUUCUAAGAUGAUGUACAAACCUCUCAACUCCAGUCACACUGAUCCUUUUCCAGGGCCUAUAAUUUAUCUAGUUCCCGCUUGCCUUUAGGCUUACAUCUGAGUUUUCUGUUCCAUUCAAAUCCUUCUCAUACUUCACAUCAUUGUAAAUAUCACUUCCAUGUCUCCCAGACAGGAUAUUGGUCUCUCAGAACUCUUAAUGUCUCCUUCAUCACAAUUCUAAUUAAAUAAUUAUCAAUGGCAUUAUUCAUCUAAUGUAUAUUUCCUAAGCUAAGCUCAGUGGCAUAAAAAUAUAUUUAUAAUGAAAGCUGAGCAUGCAAAGACUCAAUGAGCACCAAUAGCUUCCUCUUGACCUUCACAAAUAUUAAUUUAAGUCUUCACAUUAGUCUGUGAUGUGGGUAUUUCUGUUAUGGCCAUGACUUCCAUUUUCAUUGGUCAAUAUUAUAUAACAAAAGCAGAUUCAACCUUAGACCGUCGUACUGUAGGAGCCAAACAUGAACUCGUGAUGCUAUUUACCCUUCUACAUGGAAGGAGUGUAGUGCAUAUUUCUUCUACACCCAGAAGUUCUCUCAAAUCCAUUGAGUUCUUAUGAAUAUACUGUCUCUUCUAAUUCUACAAUACUCCUUGCUUUUAAUCAGGGAUAUUUGCAUAUGUCAAUCUUCUUUGAAGUGCUCCAGAUAUCAGAAGACACAUUCUCAUAUUCCAAAGCUUCACUGACACAUCUGAUUUCCUAAGGAGGAGUUAGACCUAUAUCGGUUGCCUGACAGGUUCUUAAUAUGUAAUAACUGAGGUUGUAGGCAUGAGUGCAUGCAUGCUGGUCUUACUACAUGUGACUAAUCCCAAUGUUUCCUCUUCUUUCUCCAUCCCAUGUUGCUAAACUUCUGUCUUUCUUAACCUGUAUCUUGUCCAGCCCUUUGCCCUAGUAACAUAUAAUUCUAAAAUCACAAAAGCGGGAGUAUAUGAUCUUCUUGAUGGAGACUCAAGGGACAUCCCUAAUGUAAAUUGCUUUAACAUCCAGCUUAAAUUGAUAGGGCAGCAAACAUAUAGAUCUUGAAAAUCUCACAUUGCUUAACGUCUGGUUUCUGCAACCUCACUUUUCUGUAUUAAUUCAAAGAGGUGGUUAACACAGAAGAUAGCCCCACUUCGUAGGGCUGGAAACAUCAGCUUAUGUCCAGUCAAGGACUUUCAGAAUGAUUUGUAAUGAGGGGCUCUCCCAUGAUCUAGAUAUUCACUGAAGCCCUCAUUCUAAAUGGCUGGCUCCUAAGUCUUUUUCUCUCCCUCCUUCCCUCCCCUGACCCCUCUCUCUGUCUCUCUCUCUGUCUCUGUCUCUGUCUCUGUCUUUCUCUCUCUCUCUGUCUCUCUCUGUCUCUGUCUCUCUGUCUCUCUGUCUCUCUGUCUCUCUGUCUGUCUGUCUGUCUGUCUGUCUCUCUCUCUCUCUCUCUCUCUCUCUCUCUCUCUCUGCUCUGGUCCACCAGGGGGAGCCCAACAUUGGCUAUUUUUAGGUUUCACCUGCCUUAAGGCCCAUUUCUCCAUUUUAUAAAGGAGCCAGUUUUCCUUUUUUUUUUUUUUUUUGGAAAACCAAACUGAUAAAUUUCUCACUUUAUAUAUUUAUAUAGGUUUUACUCCUUGCCCUAAUUCUAAGGUAUAUGAGCAAAACAAGCCAGUCACAUCUCCUGCCUAGGAUUGCUUCAGAAAGGGUUGUGGUACAGAUCCCCAAGACCAAUCAGUUCUAGAGUAUUUAAUCAAUUCUUUAUUUAAUAGUUCUCUGAAAAGUGAAAUAAUGAGGUCAGUCAAGAAAGCUGAGUAGGUAAAGAUGACAUGAGUUAGGAUUCCAGGACUCACACACUAGAAAUAGCAAAUUUUUGUCUUCUGAGCUGUAUAUAUGGAGGUGAUUUGUCGCAAUUACACACACACUCACACACACACUCACACACACACACACUAAAUAAAUAAAUAAAUAAAUAAAUAUAAUUAAGAAAAAUAAAUGCAACUAAAUGUAAUAAAAUUAAAUAAUGAUGAUGGGCAUAAUUAGUAAAUGGUGACAAACCCUGGAAUUCUGUCAAUUAUUUUUUGCCACCACACAGAGAAAUGGAUUGGGAAUGAAGUAGGAAGCUGUAAUGAUCCACAGGUUUCCAAAGUCAUCAUGGUUUUGUUGUUAUUGUUGUUGUUGAUGAUGUUGAUGAUUUGGGUUACUUUUUGUUGGUGGUGGUCUUUUGCUGUCAUUGUUUUUGAAUUUGUAUACUUGCUGUCAAGUAUAUUCUUAUAGAUCAUGAUAGAUCAGGGAAUUGGGUUUAAGAUAAAAUCAUGUGACUUAGAAGGACUAGAACUAGUACUGCCACCUGUAUAGAAACGAAUAGCUGCCAUUAGGAUCCUGCCACUGUCAAACUUCGUACCAUGCAAAAGGAGUCCAUAUGCCCUUCUUGACUCUGUGUGCUCAACCUUUGUCUUAGGCAGAAUUCCACAAUGAAUUCUAGUAACACCCAUUCUUAUGCAACCAUAUCUCCUCUAAGUAUGGCUGGAAUCUUUACAUGUAAUGAGGUAUCAGUACUAAAGCAUGGUAAGUUUUAAAAGCAAACAGUUUUCUCAGGAUGAGGAGGCCUGAGUGGCCAACUCUAGCUCACUUGUAAGAAACUAUCAGCCAAGUACAUUUUCAACAGUCUAUGGCCUCCUGUGGCACGCCUAACAGCGGAAGUGGUGUGCGUCUCUGACUCUUUUGCUUGUGAUUGGGACCUUUUUCUUCCUAUUGGAUGCUUCUUCCAGCCUUGAUAUGGGGGUUGUACCUAGUUUUAUUGCAUCUUGUUUUGCCAUCUUCAGUUGAUAUCACAGUAGGCCUGUUCUUUUCUGAAUGGAAAGAAAGAAACCAUGGACUUGGGGGGGAGGGGUAGAGACUGGAAGGAGUGGAGGAAAAGAAGGCUGUGUGUCAUGAUGUAUUAUAUGAGUAAAAAAUAAAUUAAAAAAAUUAAAAAGUUAAUGUCAUCUGUAUAAACAUAAGAACUGAAGCUGAGAGGUGUGGAAGAAAAUGUUUCCUUUUGCUCACACAUAUUCCUCACAGUAAAGAGGUGUUCCAAUCCAGUGACAUUAUUUGUUCAGAGGUGUAAAUAAACACUAAUUAUUCUCAAGUCAUUGAGCAUAAUAAAUAUGAGAAAUAGAAUUAGGAAUUAAAUAGAUUUCAGUAAGAACCUGGCAUUAUCAUUUCCUAGGAAAAUAUAUAAUAAUCCUUACGUGGAACAUUACAGGUAUAACUCUAACCCAGUGUAACCUCCUGUCAUUGGGAAAUUGAGAUCCAAUAAUUUAUUCUGAAUCUCAUGUUCUGAGUCUUUUAUAUGCUGAUAUGACAAAAUUAGAGAUCAAUUGAGAAAUGAUGUCUAUUCCAUAAGAUUAUUAUAAUAAUGACAUCAGAUAAGCAUUGUCUAUGGAGUUUAAAAUAUGGAUACCAUGCACCAAUAUGACUCAUGCUCAAAGUAGUUCCAUGUCAACAGGAAAUAUGUAACUAUUAAUGUUUACUGAGCUUCACACAGAAUCAAGUUUCUCUUAAUGAUAUUCACCUGUUAGUUCAUACACUUACCACAGAAAUACAAACUAAGUGCUAUGAUCAUCACUGUCAAUGUGAAUGUGUUUAAUAAGAAUCAAACUAAUGUUUAAAAUCUGAUCUUCUGUUCUCAAGUCAAAGCAUUUUAUCUAUUGCCUACUAAAUCUCACUAAAUGAUUUUAAAGAAGUGCGGUAGGAUUGUAGAGGCUUUCAUUUAUUUGCCUUUGUUUGAUGGAAAUUUCUCCAGUCUCAUGUGCCACCUAUAAAUUCUAAGGUUUCCAUAUCUGAAAUUCUGACCAAGUCAGUAGCACUAAUUUAAGGGUUAGGCAGAACAACAUUAUAAGUUCCUGUGUGAUUUCCUGUAACCUAUAUUUGCCAUUUACUCAAUGUCUAUGAUGUUUAAAGAGUGUUGCUCUAAGUGCUUCACAUAUAUUGCAUAAUUUAGUUAAUCAAUUUAACUGAACUGAAGCUCAAAACAGUGUGAAUCACAGAUUACCAAAAUUAAUUUUAAAAAUCUGAAAGGUAAACUAAUUUGCUUAAGAAUACAGAGCCAUGGAGAACUGAAUUAGUGCUUGAAACCCAAUGUUGUAAUCUUUGUUUCUCCUAGCUAUGCUCUGUACUUAGCACUAUUGUGCAACCCAAAGCAGUUUGUUACAAUGUGUCAAGCAAGCCUGUUCUAGUUGAGCCCAGAGUAAUAUCUCUCUGGCUCAGAAAGUUUGCUUUAGAGUGGCCAGCAAGCAGUACUGAGAAAGGAUGAUUGGCUUUUGGGUUUAUAAACUUAAAAAAAUAAAAACGAGUAAGCAUUGUUUAUAAUAAACUCUCUGGAAGUGAUCUUGAAAUUCAACUGGUUAAUAUUUUUUUCAUUCAUAUCUUUAUAGAUUUUUUCUACAUCCCUAGCUGUUUCUUGUUCAUCUUUCACCUGAGGCAGCCAUUGGGAACUGAUAGUGGCAUCACCUCGUACAACAACCGCCCCCAAUACCUCUUAGCACAGUCUUCAAGUCAGAACCUUGAAUGAAAUACACCUGUCUCAGGAGGCAAAGUCUAGAAGCAAACUCUGUGUUCUCUCCCUGAGACCGGUAAAGGUCUUCUGUAGAUUUUGGAGAUAAAAGCCUGUUUGACCAACAGUAUAACUAAAUAGAAAAAAGAUAUGUGCCUUGUGAGCUAAGCACAUUUUUACCUUUCUAUUACAACAUUCAAGUGAUCAAGAACUGUUGUCAUUCUCUGUUUUCAGCAGAGAAAAUUGUUUACAGAACCAGAGUCCCUGCUUCAAUUGUGUAACAUACAAUAUUUAUGGACCUAAGAUAUAGUUGAGAAUGUCAAAAUCUUUUUCAGUAAUAUGGGGAAAGUUAAGAUUUUACUUGGGACAGAUAUCCCCAGAAACAAAUUAGCAAAUUAAUGUUUUAUUUUAUUUAAUAGUGAGAGGAUAAACAAAGCCUUGGUUUAUGAAUUUAGUCAUUCCUUGUCUCUGCUAAUACUUUUGCCAAUAUUACACCUUGCUGAUAAUAACACUGUUAAAUGCACAAGCUAUAAUUAAGUACUGAGCCAUUUAUGGGUGCACUGAAUCUUCUUACAGGAUCACUACAUAUGCCAAAGGGUAAUAAGAAUUUAAAAGUUUUAGAGGGAAUAGUGAAUCAAAAUUACACAUCAGAUUAGUACUUCAUAGCUUGUGAAUUAGAAUAAACAAAUAUUGAAUAAGUUGAUAUAAAAAGCAAAUGAAGAUGAAGGAUAAAGAGUAAAAACACAAAGAGGAGGAAAAAAGAGGAAAUGAAGAUGAAUAAUACUACGUAAAACUGGCAAUGACAAGAUGAAGAGGAGGAAGAUGAAGAGGAGGAGAUAAUGAAGUAGGAAAUUUAUUUGUUAAUGUAUCUAAAAAUAAAUAGCUAAUACCUCUCGACUUUUUGGCUAAGAUCAAGUGUAAAAAUUAGAUAGUUGACCAUCAUUCAGAUUCUCACCUGUGUCAUCAGGAUCCACCUUGUCUCUCUCAACUCACUCUCUGCUUCAGUUGACCUGAAUAUCAAGUAAACAUUGUCCAUCAAUAGCUCAAAUAGCAGUUUUAGUCGGUUCUAAUCAAGGUCUUAAGAUUUUGUUCAAUUGGUUGUAAUGGAGCUGUAUUUCAUGGUCUAUGAUCACUACCAGCCUUGAGAACAACCAGAUAGAUUAAGGGAAAAAAUGGAUUCUUCUUCCUGAGAAAAAUUGAGAAUCUCUUUCCAUAAACAUGAAGAAAGAAAGCUAUGCAUACAGCAAAUGACCCUGUUGCCAGAUCCCGUGACUCUCAAUAAACGAUCCCAUAAAUCACACCUAGGCAAGCUCUAAAGGAAAAAAUUCCAUUUGUGAAGUAUACUCUUUAUCAGCAAAAAAAUUUGUAGAGAAUGUGUAAAUGAUCAAUUUAAUAUAUACCUAGAUGAUUCUCAGCAAUCUGUUAGAAAUGUUAUAUCUGUAUCUUUCUUAUAGUUUCUUAGGGUUGUUUCUGAUUCCAGAAAGUUAUUUUAUUUUGAUAUCAAUAUUUCAAACUGUUUGAGAGUUUUACCCAUUUAUAUAAUGAAUUUUAGUCAUUCUGAUUCUCCUUCAUCCUCCCACUGAGUCUUCCUGCGACUUUCAUGUCAUCUUGCUGGCCCUUGCCCCACGUUGAUGGGCGGUUAAUCACUGAAGUUAUUCAUCUAUUUUUAAACCACUGAAGAACGUGACACACCCCUCCUAACUAGCCUUAAUUGCUAAUAGUUCUUCUGAGGACAAAGUGCGUCCCUCAUCAGUAAUAAAAUUUGGAUGACCCUAAACCUGUGGAACUUGAUAAAACAGCUGCAAUGAUAUGAUGAAUGCAGGAGCUCUGUCAUGGCUAAAAUAUAGCUCCCCAUCCGCAACUAUUUUAUCAUUUCUACCUCUUCUUUCACUUGUUUCCUGCUUCUAUUUUAGAAAGAGUCAAAUACUACACCAUUAUUUAUUUUCCACACUUUGACUAUUUGUGGGUUUCCCCAUUGAGGAUCUCCUGCUUCAAUAAGAAGCAUCUGUGAUAAAGUCAUGGGAAGCCCUUAUCUGUGGUGGCAAAGAUGAGAAUUUAGAGGGAACUCUGACAAUGUAACUGUUUUGCAAAAGGGAAAUAGUAGGUCCCCAUAUAUUUUAUCAGAAAAAUUCUUAGAUACUGCUGAGUGUUGCAUAUUUUAUUCCAAAAUGACCACAGUAAAUUUUGAAUAUCUCACUGAUUUAUUAAACAGGCAAUAGACAGUAAAAGUUGAUUUUAUUUUUUAACUGUACAUGCCCAGACUCACAAGCACCAGUAAAAACAAGAUAAAACAAAUAUUAUUAGGAAAAGAAAUUUUAAAAUGCCAGUUUUAAUUGAUUUUCCCCCCUCUGGCUCAAAUAAACCCCAGAGUGUAAUUAGGACAUAUGUAUAUAUUGAAAACAUCAUGCUAUUUUCUCAUUCUUUGAUGUCUAUUAAUAUCAUAAGUAUAGUGGUUUAUGUAGUAACUCACAUUAUUGACAAUUACUAGCCAAUAUUUUGGAAGACACAUGAGAUCAGUAUAUGAAGAGAAAGAAUGUGAGAACUGAGCUCAGAGAGCCAUGUCUUUCUUGUGGCUAGUCUAUUUUAUUCAACAGCAUAACCCCAUUAGGAUUUGUAUUAUAGAGGUAUAUGACUGGGGUUUCCACACAUUUUAUCUAAUAUAAUUGUGAAUAUUUCAGUGAGGCCAGCUUUUGAUCAUCUAUCAUUUACCUAUAGUUUUCAUCUAUAUCAUUUAUCAAGCUAUUUGCCUGGCAUGUAUCUAUCAUUUGUCAAUAUAUUUAAAUAUUUUCUGUAAACACUUAUAACACAGAACCAAAAACUAUUAUUUAAUUAUUUUGUGCCUCAGUUAGAAGAAGAAUGAAUGAUGAUAUUACAUAAACCCAUUCCAUUUCAGCUGCUUGGUUAGUCCUCGAAUUCUGGCACUGAUCCAGAAACUAACUGCAGUUCAGCAGCCCAUUGUAUCACAUCCAACCUGGAGCUACAGGUCCAGGACCAGGUGCAGCACAAACACUGCUGCCCAGGUCUCAACUCUAUGGCAACGAAAUCCUGGCUAAAGCCUUGUUCAAAUGCACUAGGGAUAAAGGGACUAAGUAAUCUUUCUAUGCAGCAAGCCAUCUCUUGGUUUCCAAAAUUUGCCUGAUAAGAAUGAUCUAAAAGUUUCUAAUCUCCCAUAGAUAGGUCUACAGCUAAUUCAUGAAAUAAACUACAUCAUUAUUAAAAGGUAAUAAACAGUUCUGUGUGGUUAUGAAUACAUCCCCAUAGAAAGAAUAUUAUCUUUGCAUCCAGAUGGACAUAGCUUCAAAUCUCAUCGCUGUUGCUAGUUUCAUUGGUCCGGAUUGCUGCACCUCAGUGAUUCUCCUGUGGUUUGCAUAAAAAAUUGGUUCAAUAAAAUGUAAUUUACAAAACUGAACAAGAACUAAAUGUAUUACAGCUUGACAUAGUUUCUGACACAAACUUCAAUGCAGUAUAUGGAUAAAACAGAUACAUUUUAUAUCCUUGACAAAAAGGGACUUCCUGGGGCUGUCACUAUAAAUCUUAGCACCAAAGUGUCUCUGGUAUAUAGUAUAUAUCCAAUGUAUGUCCCCUGAAUAAAAUAGUGAAGAGAAUUAUCGUAUCUAAAUCCAUCAAUACCUAGUCACAUUUGCUUUCUUGGCCUUUGUUUGUUUGUUUGUUUGUUUGUUUAUGUAAAAGGUUAUUAAGACAUUUUAUCAAAUAGUCAGUGCCCUGGAUAUAUUUCCUGCUUGGUUCAUUAACCUGAAUUGUGAUAACUAGUUAAAAGAUGAGGCAUACUGCUCUGUAAUGUGAAACAUUGUCAUGUUACAGUAUGAAAGAGGAGGCAAAUUUUAUUCUUUAGUAACAUUUUUAAAAAUGACCUAUAAGCAAAAAUUCACCUGAGAGCUAGGGAAUGGCAACAAUGUUUCAUCUUUGGUUGAUUCCUCAAAUCCCUGAGAGACAACUCUGGGUGGGCCAACUUAUGUCCCUAUGUUUUUCAAAGCUUUGAUGAGAGUAGAGGGUUUCUCUGAGAAAGGGACUCUAAAUUCCAUUGAUAUUUUAUAAAUAAAUAUUAUUGUAUCAUUUCUUGAUCAAUGAGCUUCAAGAGGUGAUUCCUUGCUCUUCUGACUAUCUUACACAGUGCAGCCUGCAACCUGGAAAGAGGCAGGGGGACUACAUUUCUCCUAUGCAAACAACUAUCCUUAUGAUGAGUGGUGAUCCUAUUUGACAGAGCCCAAAAUUCAUUGCAGAAUCAUCUGUCUCCUGGGAACAUAUCAUCUACCUAGAUAAGAGCAUGUUUCACCAUAUGUCAAAAAAAUUAUCUUUGAAAUAUAUGGAGAGAAUUCAGGAGCAAAACCAUAGAGGAUAUGACAAAACUCUUGCGCCCAAAACAAGAAAGAUGUUAACAUCUGAAGACCAGGAAAUUUGCUGUGAGUUUGUGACUAAAAGAACUGGAAGAAAGACCAGCAGUCUCAACAAACCUGGACCCCCGAGAUCUCUCAGAAACUGAGCCACCAACCAGGCAGCACACACUACCUGGUCCAAGGCACACAUACAGCAGAGGACUGCCUGAUUUAACCUCCGUGCGAGAAGUUGAAGAUGUAGAACUCAGCUCCUCCUGCACCAGGCCUGCCUGAAUGCUGCCAUGCCUUGAUGAUAAUGGACUAAACCUCUGAACCUCAAGUAGGAUUGAAUAAUGUCUGCAUUGCACAGCUGUCAUGGCAGUUCAAUGAAAAGAUGCUCCCAAAAGCCUUUGUAAACUGCAGAGAUAUGAAACACUGAAGAAGCAAAGUCCAGUCUCCGACAUCACAGCCCCUCACCAGCUCCACUCCAGGUGUCGCGUUUCAUUUUCCACUUGAUUUUAGAAGUCAAAUAUUUAGCUGUGCUAAUGGGGUAUUGGAUCUUUUUAUUAUGGCCUCACUACACAGUGUGUGCAGCUUUGCCGAGAUAAUAAAAGAUGUUAGACCUAGUCUCGCCACUGUUUAAUGCAGAAAUGCUAUGGGAACACACCUGGGGUGCGACUUUGAAUAGAAUCAGUGGCAAAGUCAUCCAUGUCCCCAGCAGAGAUAAAAGCAUUAAUAUCCUAUUUCACCCUCAGCCCACACUAGCAUGGUGUUGAUUAAAAUUAUUUUCUACAGCUUGACUUCUAUUUUUUAAAGGAAAUCUGUAAAGUCGUGUGUGCGUGUGUGUGUGUGUGUGUGUGUGUGUGUGUGUGUUUGUCUUCGUGUGUGUCUCUCCUAAAGGGGUGGGGAGAAAGAGAGAGAGAGAGAGAGAGAGAGAGAGAGAGAGAGAGACAGAGAGAGAGAGAGAGACAGAGAGAGAGAGAGAGAGAGACAGAGAGAGAGAAGGGAAAAGAAAUAUUUUUAAAACGAAGUUACAUGUGAAGCCUCUGUUUGAUAUCUGGCUUUAGAUCUAGUUUCAAUGGCAUAUAUUUCAUGGUCCUAUGGCUUAUAUGAGAUCAGCAGGGUUUUAUAAAGGGCCAAGGAAUCCUUACCACAUCAUCUUCUCUACUACUAUAUAUGUAUCUGGAUGCCUGUUGGCUCAAGUAUGUUUUACCUGAGAUAAAAGACAAAGCCUUUGCUGGUAUGCCUUUGUGCUUAAUGAGUAAAUGAAAGGCUGACAAUGUCAGGUCUCUGGGAAUUUGAAAAUACAUGUAGAGGAGGUGUUGGAGGAGAAUAGACACAGGUGGAAACUGCUGAAACUUAUUUGUUAAGAGACGCAUUAUAUGGUAGGAAUUGUAUGCCUAGAAAAUAUGUUUUCAAUUGAGAAUUAUGGACUUAGGGCGGUAGAUCUUCUAUAUGAUCAGGAAAGAGAAAACAUUAAAACCACCUGUGUUUGUGUUUAAGGCUGUGUCAAAGAUGUGUGUGUGUGUGUGUGUGUGUGUGUGUGUGUGCGCGCGCGCAUGCACGCACUCAAAUAAGUGCAUUUAUUUCCAUACAUAUUUAUUAUCACCUAUGUGUUUGUGAUAUGAUGAUGGGUGCAAGAUUAUGGGUGAGAUCAUCAAGUAUUUUCCAAUAUAAAACUCAUUGUCUGUGGCAAACUUUGCAAAUGUGACAUCAUUGGCAAUUGGGCCUGAUAAUUCUUUAUUAUUAGGAGUUCCACUCUGCUGGGUAAAAUACUUGAGGAUUGCUGUGGUUUGUCCACCUAGUUACAGUGUUUUCUCGUUAUGCCAACCAAAUGUACCUAUAGUCGUUACUUAAUAUCCAUAAUUAAAAAUGACCAUAUGAUGACAUUUGUUAGCCUGUCAGGACAUAUGGCUAUCAAAUGAAAUACUUAAAAGUUGGUUACAUUUAUGGCUAUUUACUGUAGGACAGCAGGGCAGAGAGCUUAGUGAACAAUUCAGAUGAGGUGGGCUGACUGUUACAGAUGAAGCAUUAAGAUCUCUAGGAUGCACUGUGAAAUGCAACAGGGAGGGUGGGGAAGACUUAGCUUGGCAGAGAAAGUGAACAAAAGUUGAGAGACAGAAACAAACACACUCACUCACUCACACACACACACACACACACACACACAGAAGGGGGGAGAAGAGAGCGCUAGCUCAAGAAGAAAUUUCUGAAAACUGGGUCUUGGGAGGGACGAGAGAGAGAGCGAGCGAGAGAGAGAGAGAGAGAGAGAGAGAGAGAGAGAGAGAGAGAAGAGAGUGCUAGCUCAAGAAGAAAUUUCUGAAAACUGGGUCUUGGGAGGGACGAGAGAGAGAGAGAGAGAGAGAGAGAGAGAGAGAGAGAGAUCUUCACUUACUUAAAAUUUGUCAAUCUACUAGGAGGAGCAUAAACCACAUCCACAUCUUUCAGGAAUGGUAUUCUGAAGUCCCUUUCUUCAAUCUAUAGAGGAGGAAAUGAAAAUUCAGAAACUUGAAAAGACUUGCAUGCAAUUCUCCAGUUAUACCACAAAGAAGGGAAGAUUUAAAUCCUUGUCUGGCUUAUCCCUAAGCACCUCUUCUUCCAUGGGGACUAAAUACAGGACUGCCUCUGUGGCCAAGCCAGUCCUCUCUUCCUAAAAUUGCAGCUGAUACAUAGAUCUUCACAAGGGUUCUUGCCAUUUAGGUGCCCCUUUAUUCUUUAGCCACAUAUCUAAUAUUGUCAUUUUGGAAUUUUGACUAAGCAUUGAGCAUACCAAUAUGACCAAAUGCAAUCUUUGCAGCUCCAAAUAAAAACUAACCAUGGAAGGAAGAGUACACAUAGACAUUUUCCAGUAAUACAGGACACAGUGCUUUCAGAAACUGAUGAACAUUUAAGGUGAAAUUAUACCAUCUAACUACAUAUGAGAAUUAAGAGAGAUAUGAUGGAAGACAUACCUAAGCUAAAUUGAUUUAAAAAAACAAGUUAUUCCGAUGUGCUCUGUGUGUCAAGCAUUUUGUUUCACACAUUUUAUCACCGUACAACUGAAUGCUUAAUAUACUAGUGGAAAAUACUAGAAGAGUUAAAACUGGUCAAGGUCUACGGAUGAUAAGUAGGAAGCUGAAUUUGAGUGAACCAAAUUACUUAUGUCAGAAGAUUCAAAGAACAGGAAAUCUAGGCAAAUAACUAUUUUAUUAGGUACUUCUAUUUUCCAAAGAUGACCUCAAUACCUGAAAAAAAUUACAGGAGGAAAAGUCAAUUUUGGCUCCCAGUUUCAAGGCAUUUUUGUCCACCAUGGUGUGUGUGUAUCAUGGCAGAAGGAACAAAUGGCAAUUUGUUCAUAUCUUAGCAGCUGUGACACAUGAAGAAAGCCAAGUACCCUCGUUUUGAAUAUUGCUUUCAAAAGAAUGCCACUAUUAGCUAUGUUCCAUCUCCUGAAGGUUUCAAAGGGUCUCAAAAAUAGCACCAUCAACUAGGACACAAGUGUUCGAAAUAUACGCAGCAGACAUUUCAGACUGAAGCUACACAGUACAUUAAGGUAGUAACAUUAAUGGAGACUGUUGUGGUUGGGAAAGAUUUAUGUGGGGAUGGAGGAUGCAUGAUAGUUCACAUUGAUUGUCAGCUUAGCUGCAUCUGAACAGACUAAGAAGCAGACCUCUUUGAGAGCAUUUUUAGGGAAAAUGAGCAAAGAUGAAAACACAUUUAGAGUAACAUCUUCUUUUGGUCCAGAGAGUAAAAUCUGGGAGCAAGCAAUUGCAUGCGCCCGACUUUGCUUCUUUCUAGUGAGUGUGCCAGCCUGCGCUGUUGGGAUGCCACUACUGACAUUCUUUACUGGCAUGAACCUCCACUUUUUUUGAGUUUCAAGAUGGACUGAAAAUGAAUAAAUCUUCAGAAAUCCUCCAUAUUAACACAUCCAGUUUUAAAUUGCUACAGCAUCCAGCAUUACUGACUACUGGCCACCAGGUUCUAGGCCCCUCUAUCAUUACAAGUAGCCAUUGUUGGGCUAGCUAUCCACCAGUGGUAAUAUGUUGCUUUAUUAAAUGCCUCAUAAAAUAUGCAUGCAUUACAUAUUUUUUUGCUCCAUUGGAGAUCCGUGCACAAAAUAGGCUCCCAUUAUAUAGAAGAAGCCCUUUAUAUGAGUUAGAGUUUUCUGCAGUAAUCUUGAAAGAAGCAAACAAAAAUUGGAUCAUGUGUAUGAUAAGGCCAGUUUUGAGCAUGGAAAGAUGGAUGAGGGUUGAGUGAGGGGCUCUUGAUGACCAGCUAAAGAGUGUUUGCAGUCUGUGCAAAUAUAUUGGAGUUAAGGGAAACUCUCUUUGGCCUUUUUUCUACUGCCUGUCAAUCAAACCUAUUAAAAUGGAAGCUUCUGAGUUUAUUUGAUUUCAGAAAAGGAUAUGUUCGUUAUGUUUUCCUCCUCUUUCUCUCUUCAUUUUCCCCGUGGACUACAUAUCAUUGCAUGCUAUGGCCUGCAGGUUCUGUUUUCUCCAAGAAAUGUGCAUUUGGGGUUGCUGGGCCUGUAAAACAUGAAAUUAACCAGUGUCAUAUUUUUCACACCCUCCUCCCUGCUCACCCAGGAACCCAAAUUAAAUUUCACACUGAACAAUCUGAGCAGCUGACAUGCUCCACAGACAACAGGUGCAGGGUGUUGAUGGCCUGAGGUCGAUGUCUCUGUCAUCAGACUGUGUCAGCUCUGCCACCUCUGCUUGAUUUUCACAUUUAGUUGAAUUGAGACUUGGUCUUAAGCUGCUACAAACUCCUGUAGAACCAACAGGCCCUGCUCCCAAAUACGUAAGUGCAUAGCUAUCUAUAGUUGAUAAUCAACAUCUCUGUCAGUUUGAAGACCAGGAAAUGAUAGACCAACUUAGCAAAUUGGGAGUUCAGUGCUCUAAGCAGCAACUGAGGCCACACAGUGAGCUGCACAGUGUUCUGCAGAUCAGAGGCUUUUGGUACACUGGACAACGCCUUGGGGUUCCUUUGGAUAUAAGGUUUAUAAAGCAAAGAAAGUCCUAAUUAAAGUCUGUCUUUUGAGGUCAUCUCUUAUAAGUGUGUGUGUGUGUGUGUGUGUGUGUGUGUGUGUGCGCGCGCGCGCGCGCACGCGUGCGUGCAUGCAAGUGUGCGUGUGCACACGCAUGUCCUUGGGCAUGUAUAUAAAGGUGCAUUGUUUGUGGAUACUAAAGAACAUGUAUGGAGUUUACAGAAGAGAAGACUUACAAGAGUUGGUUCUCUUGGUCUAUUAUGUGGAUUCUAACUGUCAGGCUUAAUGGUGAGCAUGUAUUUGAUCUAUUUGAUCACCAACUGCACUUCCUAAAACACAUCUAUUAUAAGUUACCAUUCAUGCCAAUUUGUACCUAUGUUAAUUGAGGCCAGGAGCUGGAUUUGGUCCACACUGGGUCUCUACACAAAGUGGUGCUCUGAACCUAGCAGCUAUGUAUGCCGUGUUAAACACAGGAUUUCAAGGAUUGUUUCUGGGUUGUAUCUUCCAGUGCCUUUAAAGUGAUUUAAGAGUUUGCUGUUAUGAUAGUUAAGAUGAGAGAAUGCAUCUGAUAGGUGCUAAUGAGCAACAUUUCUCUCAGGAUCUGUCUACAUUUUUGUUGCUCAGCACAGUAAGCUGAUAAACCUUGGAGCACAGGAUGGCUCUAGGGAAGAAAAGAAGAGACGAUGCCUAAUGGUGAAGAAUGAGCACACCAAAAGGCAUUUUGGCAAUUACUUAGUCCACAGUGUAAUGUCUUCUACACUGUUCUUUCCAAAAUACACUCUCCAUUAAUUUUGUGUCUCUUCUGAAACAAUUAAAAAAUAAUUUCUAGGGCAGUUGUUUACAUGGUCACAUUUUAAUAUACAGUUUAUGUAUGAAAGAGAUAGUUUAAAAGAUUAUCCUUUAUAAUAUGGGCAUUGUGCAAUUAAUGUAAGCCUUUCCUUGUGAUGGAAGUUUUAGGUGACAUGAAGGAACAACUGAGCCGCUCUGAAAUUAAACAGAUAGAAAAUAAAAGAUUAUAGAGAGAUAGACACACACACACACAUGCACACAGGCACGCAUGCAUGCAUACAUACAUAUAUGCAUACACACAAUGAUGAUGGAUAGGUAAUGUGGUGGUUUGAUUACGUAUGGAUUCCACUGACUCAUGUGUUUACAAGCUUGUUUAUAGGGAGUGGCACUAUUAGGGGAUGUAAUAUUACUGCAGUAAGUGUGGCCUUUGCUGGAAGAAGUGUGUCUUCUGGAGGUGGACUUUGUAGUCUAAUAUAUGCUCAAGCUACAUCUACUGUUGUACAUAAUCUCCUUCUGUUGCCUUUGGAUCAGGAUGUAGAACUCUCAGCUCCUCCCACAGAAUGUCAGCAUGCAUACUCCCAUCCCAUCUGCCAUGAUGAUAAUCAACUAAAUCCCGGAAACUUUUAUGUCAGCCUCAAUUAAAUGCUUUCCUUUAUAAGAGUUGCCAUGGCUAUGGUGUCCCUUCACAGCAAUGAAACUUUAACACAGGUAGGUAUGAUGGUAGUUAUGAUGAUAGAUAUGAUGGCAGGCAGGCAGGCUGGCAGGCAGGCAGACAGAUAGACAGACAGAGACAAAUUGAUACAGAGACACAUAUGUGUGUGUGUUCCUCCAUGUGUUUCUCUCUAUGUGAUCUCCCUCGGUAUUUCUCUAUGUGUAUAUUUUACAAGAUCAAGUUAAAUUUUCCUCCUCUUCCUCUUCUGCUUUUCUCUCUCUUCUACCCUGACAAUAAAAAGAGCUCUAUCACAAAAUUGUUUCAAGAAAACCAAACCAAACAAACUUGAAGAUAGGACAAGAACUAGAGGUAUUUAUGAAGUGGUAUCUUUGUAAUAUUUGUGAAGUGGGAUGACUGGCUGCAAUCAUGGAAGUUGUUACUACUAAGCUUUGGGCUGGGAGCUACUUCAGAACUAAUGGUCCCUUUGCAUUCAUGAGCAUGUGGCAUAGGCUUCCCAUGCCUUUGCUAUGCUCUCAGAGAGGAACUCACAUCUAUAAUAUUCACAGACAGGCCUCCUGUGAACUCUAGGAGGCUGCAUCUUGGAGCAGGGACAGGCCAGACCACAUUUCUGCUGGAGGCUAACAAGAUAUAUCAAAUGCAGGUGACACUUGGGUCAGACAAGCACCUGCUCUUCUGGGGCCUGAGGCUUGCUUGCUAACAUUGGGAGGAAUUUGCUGCUAAGGUUUUCUUUAGAAUAACUUGUGAAAGAUUCCUUAUAGACAUUAAAAAUUGGAAUGUUUUUGAAAUCCCCACAAGAAAUCAAUAAGUGCAGAAUUCACCAGGGAUGGGAGUGGAGGGAAGCGAGACUAAGAUUAGACUAUGAAAACUUCCAUUAUGGUUGAGAAGGAAUUGAGAAGAAUGGUGCAUAUUAUCACUGUGGGCCACCUAAGACCUAAUUUUGGGGUUCUUCCUAAUUGUGCAGCUCCAAUGAUGCUCAGUUUCCUCACAUAUGACAUAUAAAUUUAAAAAAGGAAAAUACAGCUUCCCAGGGCAGAGCUGUUGCUGAGAGGUAAGUAACUUGCUGUGAAAUCAUGGCAUAAGGACCACAAUUCAGGGUCCCAGUACCUAUUCUGGAGCUCUGUUUGCAUGAUGGCGCACUUGGCAUCCCAGUGCUCAGUAAGCAGAGACAGCACAAAUUCCUGAGGCAAACUGGCUGUCUUUAUUAAAAGAAUCAGUAAGCUACAGUUUCAAAGAGAGAAAGUAUAUCAACACUUAAUGUCAAAUUUCGCCCCCUGCCUGAGUUCACACCUGUAGGAGCAUGUAUUGGUGUAUUCUAGUGAACAACAAAGUCAUGCACACAAACAUAUAGCAUAAACAUUUCUUGUUGUAUGCAUGCCAAAUAAAUUAAUACUAUUUAUGGUAUUCUUUCUGCCUUAAGACAUUUGUGUGAUAUAACAUUUGCUAGGAGCCAUGAGGGCACACUAUUUCUCUGGCAGAUAGGAUUGUCAUGAAGAAGGUAAGUCUGGUCACAACGAAAUGCAAAACAGUGACACUGAGCAAGAGAUUUGAGCAUGGUGUCAGUUCCUAAGUAUAUGGGCAUAAUAAACCCAGAACGUUGAUAUAAUAGAAUGGCUAUGGGAAUGAGCACCAGAGCCCAGCUGCCAGGGUUUGAAUCCCAGCUCCAUUACUUGAUAGCACUAUAGCCUCAGAUAAGUAAUUUAAUCUCUCUUUACUGCAAUUUCCUCAUUUAUAAACUGGAGAUAACAAUAGUGCCUAUCUCACAAGACUGCUACAAGUAUUAAAUGCAUUAAUAUGUGUAAAAGGUUUGGAGAAAUGCCUGGUACUUAGGAAGAACCUGAUAAAUGACAAGGAUUCCCAUGGUGCUUUGAGUAAGGAUGAGACGAGAUAACAUUUUUAAAUAUGUGGUGGUACCCAACAGGUACACUAAAAGAAUAGCGAUUGCAGUCAUCAGUACUGCUUCUAAUAAAAAAAAGCAACAGAAUCUCUUGUCUCUGAAGACAUAAAACACUUUUUAAAAAGGCAGGUUCAUUGCUAGGUCUUUCAGAAGCAACUUUUGGCUGCAACUUAACUCCAUGUAACUUCCCUAUUAAAAUGAAAAUCUGCAACUUAUGUGAAAGUAAAUCUAGUCUCUAGACUUCUUAAACUCCUCUUGCCUGAUUUCUUUUCACUGUGUGCUGGUCCUCAGGAUGCAGGGAGUGCAUCUCUUCAUGAACCUGAGUUUAUAAUGAUAUCAUAGCCGCUGGUCUAAAAUGCUGUCAGACUGGAUAGCCUAAGAAAGAGGACUUUCACCACUUGUAAAGCAUAUUAUAUAUAGUUAUAACUUUCAAAUGAUACAGUGACCAUGUAACACAAAAAGCAGUGUUUUCUUUUUAUAGAUGAGGUAUUUAAAACUCAGUCAGUUAAAAUUCUGUAGUUGCUACAACAUACCAGAUACAUGAACUGCUCAUUUGAUGGCUUGUCUCACUUCCCUCACUUGUUAUUUUUACUUUAAUUUCAAUUUUUAAUUUAUUCUUAGAUUUUAUACAUAGAGUGUAUCUUGAUCAUACCCACAAAUAAUUUCCCAACUCCCUCUGUAUUCCCAUCAUAUCUCCCUCUCCACUUCAUGCCUGCCUUUAUUUUGUUUAUUAAUUUAUUCAUUCAUUGACUUAUAUAACUUAAUGAGUUCAACUAGUGCUCUGUAUGUAUACAAGGGUGAGACGAUUAACUGGGGCCUGAAGAAAUGAUCAGAGACCAUCACCCAAAGAAAAUGAACAUUUCUCCUUGAGAAACUGCCAGUAAGUUCUCAGCUCGUGGCAAAGCCUCAGAAGCUCCUCAUGUUUCUGUGUUGGAAUAUUUACCUCACUUUAUCUUGUGUUGGUCUUAUGUACAUCACCACAGCUAGUCUGAGUCCCUGUGUGCAAUAAAAAUAUUAUAUCCAAA
Rattus norvegicus (Norway rat) is the source of this 22946-nucleotide non-coding RNA. NCBI's taxonomy places the organism in Eukaryota, Metazoa, Chordata, Mammalia, Rodentia, Muridae. The record is from RefSeq and is a predicted model, not a curated record.